CCUACGGGUGGCAGCAGUGGGGAAUAUUGCACAAUGGGCGCAAGCCUGAUGCAGCCAUGCCGCGUGUGUGAAGAAGGCCUUCGGGUUGUAAAGCACUUCCAGCGGGGAGGAAGGCGUUAAGGUUAAUAACCUUGUCGAUUGACGUUACCCGCAGAAGAAGCACCGGCUAACUCCGUGCCAGCAGCCGCGGUAAUACGGAGGGUGCAAGCGUUAAUCGGAAUUACUGGGCGUAAAGCGCACGCAGGCGGUCUGUCAAGUCGGAUGUGAAAUCCCCGGGCUCAACCUGGGAACUGCAUUCGAAACUGGCAGGCUAGAGUCUUGUAGAGGGGGGUAGAAUUCCACGUGUAGCGGUGAAAUGCGUAGAGAUGUGGAGGAACACCAGUGGCGAAGGCGGCUCUCUGGUCUGUAACUGACGCUGAGGCGCGAAAGCGUGGGGAGCAAACAGGAUUAGAUACCCUAGUAGUC
This 465-nucleotide ribosomal RNA is filed under the name uncultured Klebsiella sp. Its description in RNAcentral is "bacterial SSU rRNA". It matches the Rfam family "Bacterial small subunit ribosomal RNA", at positions 338 to 795 of the family's 1533-position model. The record is from RNAcentral. Lineage: Bacteria; Pseudomonadati; Pseudomonadota; Gammaproteobacteria; Enterobacterales; Enterobacteriaceae.